GCCGAAGAUAGGGAUCAGAGGCAAUCAGAUACGUCGUAGUCUUCUUGAGACUUAGCCGCUAGGGAUUGAGUGGCUCGCACAUUCAGUACCUUAUGAGAAGUCAAAGUUUUGGUUCUGGGGGGAGUAUGUCGCGAGACUGAAACUUGAAGGAAUUGACGGAGGGCACCACCAGGAGUGAGCUGCGGCGUGAUGUGGACUCAACACGGGGAAACUACCAGGUCCAGACAUAGUAAAGGAAUAGACAAGAUUGAUAGCUCUUUCUUGAUUCUAUGGGUGGUGGUGCAUGGCCCGUUCUAGUUGCACCGUGACUGUCUGUUGAUUCCGAUAACGAACGAGACCUUAGCCUGCUAACUAGAUUCGAUCAUCUUAUGGUCGUUAUCUUCUUAGAGGGACUAUGUAACAUAAAUACAUGGAAGUUUGAGGCAAUAACAGGAACAGAGAUGCCCUUAUAUGUCCUGGGCUGCACGCGUGCUACACUGAUGUAUACAACAAGUGCCUAGUCAGACAUGGCAUGGCAAUCUCGAAUAUGCAUCGUGAUGGGGAUAGAUCUUUGCAAUUAUAGAUCUUGAACGAGGAAUUCCUAGUAAGUGCAAGUCAUCAUCUUGCAUUGAUUAUGUCCCUUCCCUUUGUACACGGGGGGCAGAGAAAUCCUACCGAUACCGGGUGAUCCGGUGAACCUUUGGACCUGCAAGGGGAAGAUAAGUAAACCAUAUCACCUAAAAAGAGAAGUCGAACAAGUAUCCGCCCCCUUGCCCAAGC
RNAcentral lists this ribosomal RNA (759 nucleotides) under uncultured rumen protozoa. RNAcentral's name for it is "bacterial SSU rRNA". The stretch from base 1 to 650 matches the Rfam family "Eukaryotic small subunit ribosomal RNA", at positions 982 to 1831 of the family's 1831-position model. The record is from RNAcentral.